GACGAACGCUGGCGGCGUGCCUAAUACAUGCAAGUAGAACGCACAGUUUAUACCGUAGCUUGCUACACCAUAAACUGUGAGUUGCGAACGGGUGAGUAACGCGUAGGUAACCUGCCUGGUAGCGGGGGAUAACUAUUGGAAACGAUAGCUAAUACCGCAUAAUAUUAAUUAUUGCAUGAUAAUUGAUUGAAAGAUGCAAUUGCAUCACUACCAGAUGGACCUGCGUUGUAUUAGCUAGUAGGUGAGGUAACGGCUCACCUAGGCGACGAUACAUAGCCGACCUGAGAGGGUGAUCGGCCACACUGGGACUGAGACACGGCCCAGACUCCUACGGGAGGCAGCAGUAGGGAAUCUUCGGCAAUGGACGAAAGUCUGACCGAGCAACGCCGCGUGAGUGAAGAAGGUUGUCGGAUCGUAAAGAUCUGUUGUAAGAGAAGAACGGGUGUGAGAGUGGAAAGUUCACACUGUGACGGUAUCUUACCAGAAAGGGACGGCUAACUACGUG
Molecule: ribosomal RNA, 505 nt
Filed under: uncultured bacterium
Lineage: Bacteria
Description: partial 16S ribosomal RNA
Rfam family: Bacterial small subunit ribosomal RNA
Source: RNAcentral